This is a long non-coding RNA of Heterocephalus glaber (naked mole-rat), 2719 nucleotides long. Lineage: Eukaryota; Metazoa; Chordata; Mammalia; Rodentia; Bathyergidae. The record is from Ensembl.
CUCUUAAGUACAUGAGAGGCACUCUUGGAACAGAAAUGAAAACGGAUCUGCCAAUUACUACUCUUUACUUUUCAAGCUGAUUCCCCCAAGGGCUUCUAUUUAGCAAAUACUUUUAAGAGACUGUGUACGGCAAAGGAAUCAGAGAGCAAUUUAUUUUUAUUUCAUUGUUCAGACUGGCUGCCAUCCCACUUAGAUAGAAGGGAGGUUUUCCUGGGUUGUCACGGCUUGCACUUGCAUGUCUUCAAAGCACUUGUAACUGCUUCUCACUCUUUCCACACCACUGGCAGGGAACAUGUUUGCAUCCCCAUUUUGCAGGUGGGGAAACCAAAGGCCAGGAGAGAAGGCAUAGCCCAAACACCAAAUUUUCUUGCCUCUGUCGUCCACCUCUGCUCCUAAUUCUUGACCUGUUGGGUAUUCUGAACAACCUCCUCCCCACUUGUCACCUCUGAGUUUGCAGGUAGCACGGAUAGAAUUCAUAGUAACCCAGAUCUGAAGCCUACAAUCCCUUGCCAGCUUGGUCCUUAGGCAAGACAAUUCUUUCCAUAAGAUAUUUAUAAAAGGCCCUCAGCCAGACCUGUGAGAGAGCUUGUUAUUACUCAGCCAAGAUUGCUCUCUCCUCCCGUUCCUCAUUCACCAGGAUCACAAUGAUACAUGCAACUAUUGUAGGAAAUGUAAGCUCUUCCUGAAACAAAAUUUAAGCAGCUAGUAUUUACUGAGCACUUACUUACAUGGAGCCCAUGGACUAUGCUAACACUUCACAUACAUUACCUUAGCCUUGGGACAGCCCAGCGAAAAUUCUUACCCCGGUUUUAUAGAUGAGGACAUUGAGGCUAAGAAAGACUCAGUGACUUGACCAAGGUCAUUUAGUUUGAGACAAUAUUCAUAACUCAAGUCUGUCACCCACCAAAAGCCACCUGAUUUUCACUCAAUAGCAUGGCCCUAGCUUAGCACCCUAUGAGUAGUACAUGGAAACACAUCCCAAAGUGGCAUAAGACAAGCCAGGCAAGACUGAGCUUUUUAAUUCUAGCUGCUUGGCUCACAACCCAGACUCCAAUGAGGCUACUUCCAUGCUGUUUCACGCAGCCAACAGUCCCAUCAGCCAGGGCGCUGGGAAGCUGACAAGUCAAAGGGCUCCCUGGCAGGCUUGUCCUGGCAGCGACCCAGCUGACUUGUGCUAACACAGCACAGGAAAGGGUCUAGCGAGAAUGGAAAAGCACCAGACAACGAGCCGCUGAGGGAGAGAGGUGAUUCCUGCCCCGCUCAGAUAGGAUAACCCUGCUCCACAGCCACAACCAUCACGAGGCUGGGAAAAGACCUGUGGAGGAGGGAAACAAGAGGCAAGCGCAGGUACUAACUGAUGUAUUUCAGUGAACUAUGAUUGUCGGGCCAGUUUAAGAGAGGGUCACAUAACUCCAAGGUGAAUUAGCAAGCAUGGAAGAAAACCAGUCCAUGUCCUGGUGCAUUCCAGCAACCCUGACCUAUCUUUGCCUACAGCCAGUAACACAAGCCCUGCUACUUAAUGUCACUUGUGCACAGGUCAAGGAGAGCACCUAUAAGAUGCUGUAACAUCUUAAGAGUGGCUACAGCAGCCUUGGAUCUCCACCAGUCCAUGGGAAAGGAAGACUGAGCUGAGAGUAUUAAUAGACUUGCUAGAGCCAGAAAUUUGGCCAGGACACUCCCUAGGAAAUGAAAUUAUUUUAAAAAGGGGCACAAAGUCAGCCUGGAAGAAGAGAGCAACUCAGAUUUCCAAAGAUAGAGCUUCUUCAACCAGACAUUGGUAGGAGAUAUACUAAAAUAUCUGAAAGUCUAAAAAUGUCUGUGGGAAAAAUCUGUGGGUAUUGUCCCUGUGGCUUUCCAUCCUCAAAUAUUUUGCUUAGGGUGAUAUUAAACUGUACAUGUGUAGGAUACACAAAAGAGUUUUCAAUGGAAAUCAAUUCUGUGACCUAAUAUUUGCUACAAGUUGUUUGAAAAAAAUGCGUAACUCUCAGAUAUCAUUAGGAAAGGGACAUUUUUUUGUUGUUGAUUUUGUUGCAGUGCUGGGAGUCAAACCCAGGGCUUCACUCAUACGCUAGACAAGCCUCUUACCACUGAGCUACACCACUACCACCCCAGGACAAGAGGGGCAUUUUUGAGAGAUCACAAAUUGACCCUCACUGGUUCCAAAUAACCCAAGUAUGUUAGCAUGCUUAGAUUUUAAAAAAUGAAUUGCCGACUUUUUUUAAAACAUAAGUUUCUAUAGAUAAAUAAUAAAAACUCCACUUAACUUUUACAUUUUUAAGGGAAAAAAGUGGAAAACUGGUGCCACUGAGGAAGCAGCAAACUGGAAGUUGAAUCACUACUGCCCCCUCUUGUCAGGGCUGUACUUUGCUCAUUUGUCAUCUGAUCCUGCAGGCAUCAAGAUUUGUUUAAAUACCGAAUAGUUUCUCUAGUGUGAGAAACUGAAAAUGUAAAUAAGGACUAAAAGGUAUAAUAGAUAAUGUGAAAUAGGAAGAAAAGGGGCAAAGGGGAGGGGGAGGGGAAAGGAAAGAAGGGAAUGGAAUUAAUAUGAGAAUAUAAGAACCAAGAGAGUCUGUAAAUGUGCAUAUCUCCAAUGAUGAAUGUCAUUAUAUUGUACACCUAAAAUGUACCAAUAAAAGGAUAUACAAAAAAACCCCAAUUAUGACCAUGUGAUAAGAUGAAUGAUUUUAAGAAAUAACAGGUGAAAAAGCAAUAUAAAAUU